AGUGAACGCUGGCGGCGUGCCUAAUACAUGCCAGUCGAACGAACGAAUAAGAGCUUGCUCUUAUAAGUUAGUGGCGCACGGGUGAGUAAUAUAUAGCUAAUCUGCCUCUUAGUAGAGGAUAACAGUCGGAAACGAUUGCUAAUACUCUAUACUUCUGCUUUACAUAAGUAAAGUAGAGAAAGUUUUUCGCUAAGAGAUGAGGCUAUACUGUAUCAGCUAGUUGGUAAGGUAACGGCUUACCAAGGCUAUGACGCAUAACUGGUCUGAGAGGAUGAUCAGUCACAUUGGAACUGAGACACGGUCCAAACUCCUACGGGAGGCAGCAGUAGGGAAUAUUGCGCAAUGGGGGAAACCCUGACGCAGCAACGCCGCGUGGAGGAUGACACUUUUCGGAGCGUAAACUCCUUUUAUCGGGAAAGAAUAAUGACGGUACCCGAUGAAUAAGCACCGGCUAACUCCGUG
RNAcentral lists this ribosomal RNA (462 nucleotides) under uncultured bacterium. Its description in RNAcentral is "partial 16S ribosomal RNA". It matches the Rfam family "Bacterial small subunit ribosomal RNA", at positions 29 to 507 of the family's 1533-position model. The record is from RNAcentral.